Molecule: ribosomal RNA, 253 nt
Filed under: uncultured bacterium
Lineage: Bacteria
Description: partial 16S ribosomal RNA
Rfam family: Bacterial small subunit ribosomal RNA
Source: RNAcentral
UACGAAGGGGGCUAGCGUUGCUCGGAAUCACUGGGCGUAAAGGGUGCGUAGGCGGGAUCUUAAGUCAGAGGUGAAAGCCUGGAGCUCAACUCCAGAACUGCCUUUGAUACUGGGAUUCUUGAGUUCGGGAGAGGUGAGCGGAGCUGCGGGUGUAGAGGUGAAAUUCGUAGAUAUUCGCAAGAACACCAGUGGCGAAGGCGGCUCACUGGCCCGAUACUGACGCUGAGGCACGAAAGCGUGGGUAGCAAACAGG